AAAGUGCAGCUUAUGACRRGGAGAUGAUGGGUUACACCCUAAAUAAAGAUACCAAUUGUAGCACCAAAAGUUACAUGAAGGUGGACUUGAACGUAAUUAUAAUUCCAUGUUAUAAUAAAAACGAAUCUAAGACAUGCACACAUCGCCCGUCACUCUCGCCUAAAGGCGAGAUAAGUCGUAACAAAGUAGGUGUAACGGAAGUUGCACCUGU
Molecule: ribosomal RNA, 211 nt
Filed under: Bimastos welchi
Lineage: Eukaryota; Metazoa; Annelida; Clitellata; Crassiclitellata; Lumbricidae
Description: partial 12S ribosomal RNA
Rfam family: Bacterial small subunit ribosomal RNA
Source: RNAcentral